This 492-nucleotide ribosomal RNA is filed under the name uncultured soil bacterium. RNAcentral describes it as "bacterial SSU rRNA". It matches the Rfam family "Bacterial small subunit ribosomal RNA", at positions 26 to 517 of the family's 1533-position model. The record is from RNAcentral.
AGAUUGAACGCUGGCGGAAUGCUUUACACAUGCAAGUCGAACGGCAGCACGGGGGCAACCCUGGUGGCGAGUGGCGAACGGGUGAGUAAUGUAUCGGAACGUGCCCAGUCGUGGGGGAUAACUAUCCGAAAGGAUAGCUAAUACCGCAUACGACCUGAGGGUGAAAGCGGGGGAUCGCAAGACCUCGCGCGAUUGGAGCGGCCGAUAUCAGAUUAGCUAGUUGGUGGGGUAAAAGCCUACCAAGGCGACGAUCUGUAGCUGGUCUGAGAGGACGACCAGCCACACUGGAACUGAGACACGGUCCAGACUCCUACGGGAGGCAGCAGUGGGGAAUUUUGGACAAUGGGCGCAAGCCUGAUCCAGCAAUGCCGCGUGCAGGAUGAAGGCCUUCGGUUGUAAACUGCUUUUGUACGGAACGAACGGUUCUCUCUAAUACAGGGCCAAGUGACGGUACCGUAAGAAUAAGCACCGCUAACUACGUGCCAGCAGCCG